GACGAACGCUGGCGGCGUGCCUAACACAUGCAAGUCGAGCGGGGACACAUUGUGAAGCGGAAGUUUUCGGACGGAAGCGGAACGGUAUGUUCUAGCGGCGGACGGGUGAGUAACGCGUGAGCAACCUGUCCCUUACAGGGGGAUAACACAGCGAAAGUUGUACUAAUACCGCAUAAGACCACAGAGCCACAUGGCUUAGGGGUCAAAGGAGCAAUCCGGUAAGGGGUGGGCUCGCGUCCGAUUAGAUAGUUGGUGAGGUAACGGCCCACCAAGUCGACGAUCGGUAGCCGACCUGAGAGGGUGAUCGGCCACAUUGGGACUGAGACACGGCCCAAACUCCUACGGGAGGCAGCAGUGGGGAAUAUUGGGCAAUGGGGGAAACCCUGACCCAGCAACGCCGCGUGAGGGAAGAAGGUUUUCGGAUCGUAAACCUCUGUCCUAGGUGAAGAGAAAGAGACGGUAGCCUAGGAGGAAGCCCCGGCUAACUACGUGCCAGCAGCCGCGGUAAUACGUAGGGGGCGAGCGUUGUCCGGAAUGAUUGGGCGUAAAGGGCGCGUAGGCGGCCCGGUAAGUCUGAAGUGAAAGUCCUGCGUUCAACGUGGGAAUUGCUUUGGAUACUGUCGGGCUUGAGUGCAGGAGAGGUAAGUGGAAUUCCCAGUGUAGCGGUGAAAUGCGUAGAGAUUGGGAGGAACACCAGUGGCGAAGGCGACUUACUGGACUGUAACUGACGCUGAGGCGCGAAAGUGUGGGGAGCAAACAGGAUUAGAUACCCUGGUAGUCCACGCUGUAAACGAUGAAUGCUAAAUUUCGGGGCGACUCGGAGUUGAAGCCAACGCGAUAAGCAUUCCGCCUGUGGAGUAUGCACGCAAGUGUGAAACAUAAAGGAAUUGACGGGGGCCCGCACAAGCGGUGGAGUAUGUGGUUUAAUUCGACGCAACGCGAAGAACCUUACCAGGCCUUGACAUCCCUUGCGAAGCUCUAGAGAUAGAGUAGAGGUUAUCAAGGUGACAGGUGGUGCAUGGUUGUCGUCAGCUCGUGUCGUGAGAUGUUGGGUUAAGUCCCGCAACGAGCACAACCCUUGUUUUCAGUUACUAACAUUAAGUUGAGGACUCUGGAGAGACUGCCGGUGAUAAACCGGAGGAAGGUGGGGAUGACGUCAAAUCAUCAUGCCCCUUAUGGCCUGGGCUACACACGUACUACAAUGGCCGUUACAACGUGCUGCGACCUGGCGACAGGAAGCGAAUCACUUAAAGACGGUCUCAGUUCGGAUUGGAGUCUGCAACCCGACUCCAUGAAGUUGGAAUCGCUAGUAAUCGCGGAUCAGCAUGCCGCGGUGAAUACGUUCUCGGGCCU
This 1353-nucleotide ribosomal RNA is filed under the name uncultured bacterium. Its description in RNAcentral is "partial 16S ribosomal RNA". It matches the Rfam family "Bacterial small subunit ribosomal RNA", at positions 28 to 1381 of the family's 1533-position model. The record is from RNAcentral.